This 348-nucleotide long non-coding RNA is filed under the name Mytilus galloprovincialis (Mediterranean mussel). Lineage: Eukaryota; Metazoa; Mollusca; Bivalvia; Mytilida; Mytilidae. The record is from RNAcentral.
CAUAUAAGAACUGAAGUGGCAUUUUACUAAUGUGUCCCAUUAUUAAACUGAUUUUUAAUAUUGUACUUCCAUUAAAAAUAGAGAACCAAUUAGGUGUAAUAUACGUUCUUACUCCAGGGUUUGUUUAGGUAAUUAUGUGCAUGCGUAUAGUUUCCUUGACUUCAAGGGGUACUAGGUUAAAUGUUUGCUCUGGAUUCCCCACUCAAUUGAUAAAUUUUAAACUCAAGGGAUCCUUUCUAUAUAUGUCUGCUAUUGAGAGUUAUUGUUGUUGCAUAAUUUUAAAUCAUAUGCAUCGUUUAAAUUAAAAUAAUUGUAGUCCACAUCGUAAAAGUUUUCUUUCAACACACC